GUAACGCGUGGCAACCUGCCUUACACAGGGGGAUAACACUUAGAAAUAGGUGCUAAUACCGCAUAAGCGCACAGCUUUGCAUGAAGCAGUGUGAAAAACUCCGGUGGUGUAAGAUGGACCCGCGUCUGAUUAGCUGGUUGGCAGGGUAAAGGCCUACCAAGGCGACGAUCAGUAGCCGGCCUGAGAGGGUGAACGGCCACAUUGGGACUGAGACACGGCCCAGACUCCUACGGGAGGCAGCAG
Molecule: ribosomal RNA, 243 nt
Filed under: uncultured bacterium
Lineage: Bacteria
Description: partial 16S ribosomal RNA
Rfam family: Bacterial small subunit ribosomal RNA
Source: RNAcentral